RNAcentral lists this ribosomal RNA (869 nucleotides) under uncultured archaeon. RNAcentral's name for it is "bacterial SSU rRNA". It matches the Rfam family "Archaeal small subunit ribosomal RNA", at positions 1 to 878 of the family's 1478-position model. The record is from RNAcentral.
CUCGGGUUGAUCCGGCCGGACCUGACUGCUAUCGGAUUGGUACUAAGCCAUGCGAGUCGUUGUAGCAAUACAAGGCGGACGGCUCAGUAACACGUAGUCAACCUAACCUAUGGACGUGGAUAACCUCGGGAAACUGAGAAUAAACCGCGAUAGAUCAUUAUGCCUGGAAUGGCUUAUGGUUCAAACAAUUUAUUGCCGUAGGAUGGGACUGCGGCCUAUCAGCUUGUUGGUGAGGUAAUGGCCCACCAAGGCUAUAACAGGUACGGGCUCUGAGAGGAGAAGCCCGGAGAUGGGUACUGAGACACGGACCCAGGCCCUAUGGGGCGCAGCAGGCGAGAAACCUUAGCAAUGUGCGAAAGCACGACUGGGUCAGUCCGAGUGAUUCCUGAUAAAGGAGUCUUUUAUCUGUCCUAAAAGCACAGGUGAAUAAGGGGUGGGCAAGUCUGGUGUCAGCCGCCGCGGUAAUACCAGCACCUCGAGUGGUCAGGACGUUUAUUGGGCCUAAAGCAUCCGUAGCCGGCUCUGCAAGUCUUCGGUUAAAUCCACCUGCUCAACAGAUGGGCUGCUGGAGAUACUACAAAGCUAGGGAGUGGGAGAGGCAGACGGUAUUCAGUGGGUAGGGGUAAAAUCCUCUGAUCCAUCGAGGACCACCAGUGGCGAAGGCGGUCUGCCAGAACACGUUCGACGGUGAGGGAUGAAAGCUGGGGGAGCAAACCGGAUUAGAUACCCGGGUAGUCCCAGCUGUAAACGAUGCAAACUCGGUGAUGCAUUGGCUUAUGGCCAAUGCAGUGCCGCAGGGAAGCCGUUAAGUUUGCCGCCUGGGAAGUACGGACGCAAGUCUGAAACUAAAGGAAAUGGGCGGGGGAGCA